ACGUAGGGGGCGAGCGUUGUCCGGAUUCAUUGGGCGUAAAGAGCUCGUAGGCGGUUCGAUAAGUCGGCGGUGAAAGUCCGGGACCUAACUCCGGAAGGUCCGUCGAUACUGUCGAACUUGAGUCUGGUAGGGGAGUGCGGAAUUCCUGGUGUAGCGGUGAAAUGCGCAGAUAUCAGGAGGAACACCGGUGGCGAAGGCGGCACUCUGGGCCAGUACUGACGCUGAGGAGCGAAAGCUAGGGGAGCAAACAG
This 251-nucleotide ribosomal RNA is filed under the name uncultured prokaryote. RNAcentral's name for it is "partial 16S ribosomal RNA". It matches the Rfam family "Bacterial small subunit ribosomal RNA", at positions 525 to 775 of the family's 1533-position model. The record is from RNAcentral.